CAGCCAGGCUCCACACCCUCAUCCCCACCCUGGCCAGGCGCGGCGCCCCACACAGCAGAACACUUCCUGCCACGACUCCACUCAGGGCCCCACACCAGCCCCAGCCAGGCUCCACACCCUCAUCCCCACCCUGGCCAGGCGCGGCGCCCCACACAGCAGAACACUUCCGGCCACGACUCCACUCAGGGCCCCACACCAGCCCCAGCCAGGCUCCACACCCUCAGAGAUGGCAGAAUAAAAGAAAACUGAGUAUUAGACAUCUGGUGAGCUGCAGGAAGGGUUGGGGGCGAGGCUGUGUAUAUAUGGCUAAAAGUGUUUGCAAGACACUCCGCCAUGCCACUGGGAUCACUAACUGUUGACCCGUGCCCCAUCAGGACGUCAUUGUCUCCAGUCGUGUGGUCCAGUGAGUCACCGCUCUACCGCACGACAGUGACCCCAAGGAAGUCCCGGUCCACAGCAGGGAUGUGGCCACCCCUGGCCACAGCCCCAAGUGUUCCCUGGUGGGCCAUACUCACUGAGCUCCUCCUCCUCCUCCUCCUCCUCACCCUGCUGCCGUGGAAGGACAUGAAUGAACCCACAAACCACUGGUCCAGGAGUCACCACAGCUGUCAGCAGAACAACUUGGAGCGUCCGCCCUUCCUGCCACCAGUGGUCGGAGACUCUCUCUUCACCACACGGUCUGCAUGUCGGCAAGGCACUACAUCGGACUCCACUACAACCUCCACAACCUCUACGGACUGUCAGAGACGAGUGCCACCAAUGCAUAAGUCUAUGAUGCUCAGAGUUUUAGGUGCAGGGAGGGAUAUGCUGACAGUAAGUUUGUGGUAUGCAUUCAAUAUGGGCACAGUACAUUAGUGAUGUGCUUGCAGUAAGUUUGUAGUGUGCAUUUAGUAUCGUUACAAUGUAUUAAUGAUAUACCCAAGUCAUAGGCAAGAGGAAAUACAGAUGAAGGAAGGCUGUUUUUCUUUCAGAGUUUACCAGCCAAAGGGAUGAAAGAAUGAAGAUGCUGGCUGGCUGACUCCUGCAUAAGGGAUUAGGGCAGCAUAGGGAUGAGCCAGUGUUUAAAAUUAUGGACGGUAGGGGUUGAGGCAUGCAGCUGCCAAGUUCAGGAAUGCCCGCCAGUCCUCUUUCUUAUAACAUAUCAAUACUUUCAUUUAGUAUCUAUCAAUAUGGCCAUUACUUGUUGCCAGACCCCUGCAGGGUGUGGGAGCCAGGCGGCCAUUCAUCACUUCCCGCUCGUCCUUCCACGGCCAGGGCCACUACGGGGGCCACUGGACGGGCCACGUGUGCUCCCACUGCUUCAACAUGUGGCACUCCACCGCAGAUCCCUCCAGUAGGCUGAGAAGAAGCUCCAGAGCCUGGCCCCGGAGAUGGAGGGGCAGCGGCGGGCCAGGAAGCCCUCCGGCUCUGAGACGUGCGGCGCCACAACCAACAACUCAGCGUGCAG
Eriocheir sinensis (Chinese mitten crab) is the source of this 1447-nucleotide long non-coding RNA. RefSeq lists it as uncharacterized. The transcript has 6 exons. The record is from RefSeq and is a predicted model, not a curated record. NCBI's taxonomy places the organism in Eukaryota, Metazoa, Arthropoda, Malacostraca, Decapoda, Varunidae.